AACGCAGCUAGCUACGAUAAUCGGUGCGAAUUGCAGGACACGCCGAGCACUUGAGCUUCCAACGCACAUUGCGGCUUUCGGGUCUUUUCCGAGGUCACAUCUGUCUGAGAGUUGAGAUGUAAAAUAAUCAACAAAACACUUGCAUACUACCAUAUAUGCAUUGUUUUGAGAGGAUUGUAUAUUUAUAUGCAUGAAUCUUGAUGUUUUAUUCCUUUUCUUAAUUGCAAUUCGUUGCAAUUUAGUAAGGAGAAUCUCAAAUCUACUUGUUUCACAUGAUAAAUUUUGUGUACAAUGCAUAUUUCAUCUCUGCAAGCAGUAUAUAUGAAUAGAUACUAGCAUGAGAUUCUAAGGUUAGUCGCCUAUCUGACGACGCUAAAGUCGUAUUGCAGAUAACUAUGGUGAUCAACUAACCUGUUAACUGAUGAAUCUUCUUGCACUUGUAUAAAUCGUACAAAUAGUAGCUAUUUCAUUCUGUUAAAGCAGACCUAAGAAGUAAUGCAAAGGCAAAAUUUGUGCAAACAUUAAGAGUAGAAUUUACGUUGCUUGCUUGCAAACA
RNAcentral lists this ribosomal RNA (556 nucleotides) under Tetranychus urticae (two-spotted spider mite). RNAcentral's name for it is "eukaryotic LSU rRNA". The stretch from base 1 to 114 matches the Rfam family "5.8S ribosomal RNA", at positions 42 to 154 of the family's 154-position model. The record is from RNAcentral. Lineage: Eukaryota; Metazoa; Arthropoda; Arachnida; Trombidiformes; Tetranychidae.